This 85-nucleotide transfer RNA is filed under the name Chloroflexota bacterium. Its description in RNAcentral is "Chloroflexi bacterium (hot springs metagenome) tRNA-Leu". It matches the Rfam family "tRNA". From Rfam's summary of the family: Transfer RNA (tRNA) molecules are approximately 80 nucleotides in length. Their secondary structure includes four short double-helical elements and three loops (D, anti-codon, and T loops). Lineage: Bacteria; Bacillati; Chloroflexota. The record is from RNAcentral.
GGGGACGUGGCGGAAUUGGCAGACGCGCAUGACUUAGGAUCAUGUGCCGUAAGGCGUGCGGGUUCAACUCCCGCCGUCCCCACCA